UACGAAGGGGGCUAGCGUUGCUCGGAAUUACUGGGCGUAAAGGGAGCGUAGGCGGACAGUUAAGUCAGUGGUGAAAGCCCAGGGCUCAACCCUGGAAUUGCCUUUGAUACUGACUGUCUUGAGUAUGGGAGAGGUAUGCGGAACUCCGAGUGUAGAGGUGAAAUUCGUAGAUAUUCGGAAGAACACCAGUGGCGAAGGCGGCAUACUGGCCCAUUACUGACGCUGAGGCUCGAAAGCGUGGGGAGCAAACAGGAUUAGAUACCCUGGUAGUCCACGCUGUAAACGAUGAGUGCUAGUUGUCGGCAUGCAUGCAUGUCGGUGACGCAGCUAACGCAUUAAGCACUCCGCCUGGGGAGUACGGUCGCAAGAUUA
Molecule: ribosomal RNA, 372 nt
Filed under: uncultured prokaryote
Description: bacterial SSU rRNA
Rfam family: Bacterial small subunit ribosomal RNA
Source: RNAcentral